This 794-nucleotide long non-coding RNA is filed under the name Polistes fuscatus (common paper wasp). RNAcentral describes it as "uncharacterized LOC122526108". Lineage: Eukaryota; Metazoa; Arthropoda; Insecta; Hymenoptera; Vespidae. The record is from RNAcentral.
GCUUCCGACAAAAGUUCUGCCAUUUCUUUGGCGCUUUCUGGCAAUGGAACUGAACCGUCUCUUAGGAAAUUCAAUAUUGUACCAAAGUGUUUUCCACACCGAUCAAUUAAUACCCAUCCUAUAGCAAAAUUUAUAAAUAUAACUUAAAAACAACUGUGUCAAUAAUUUGCUAUUAAAAAAAAGUAAUUUAAUAAAUACAAAAAAAUAAUAUUUUUAGUGAAGAUCAUCCCUCUAGUGUUCAAAUAAAGUGCAUAUUAUUUUAUAAAGAAAAGAAAAUCUAUAUAAUUUGAAUUUAUGAGAAUAGUGUUUAAUAGUUCAUACAAACUGACAGCAAAUAAAAAUUCUCAAUAUGUCACUUAAACGCAAUGAAUAUCUCUUACUAUAAUUUAUUCUUGAUAUGAUACUAUAUUACACUUAAUACGUCACUUAAUAUGCACGCAUAUUACUUCAAUAUAAUAUUUUAAUAUUUAAAAUAUGUACUUUUUGUGUAGAAAGAGAUAGAACAUAUCAAAACAGAAAAAAAAGAUGGCGGCCGCACGGUUAAUGAUCUCGAAAUGAUCGAACGUUUAUCGAGGAUAAAUACAAUAUCGUUGUACAACGAUAUAUCGUGUUAAUCGUGAAUAGGAAAGAAAAAAGACAUAACGAGCUUCGACACAACUCCAAAAAAGAUUUAAUUAAUUAAUCAAAACUUACGUACGUAUGUAUGUGUGUGUCGUGUAUGUGUAUCGUGAAAAUAAAUUAAAUAAGACAAAAUAUAAAGAAACGUAAAAAGGGGGAGGCGGGGUGUAAUAUAA